Molecule: long non-coding RNA, 2823 nt
Filed under: Sus scrofa (pig)
Lineage: Eukaryota; Metazoa; Chordata; Mammalia; Artiodactyla; Suidae
Description: lncRNA (ENSSSCG00065070410.1)
Source: RNAcentral
UUUUUUUUUUUUUUUUUUUUCUGAGAUAGAGGCAGAAGUGGUGUCUCGUCUCCACUCAGGAGCUUUCCUCAUGGCGAUGUCCCAAAACACAACCUGUCUCGGAAGGAGGCACUGGCUUGAGAGGAGGAGAAAGCAAAACCACCCUUCCCAGAUGGAUGUCACAGAGUCGCCAACUCACCACCUUCUGUGAAGGACUCACAGGGAGGAUGUCACAUCUGGACUCUUACCAAAGUGCCACAAAGGAACACACUUGGCUGUUUUUACUCGGAAACAUGGCUGCAGUCCUCAGCCGACACCCCCAGGGACGCUGGCUCUGCCCUUGGCACCUGGCACCUUGCCUUGGAUGCAGUGGACUACACAGCCCCCGUGCUCCAAGGGUUCAGAUGCUCCCAAGAGGACCACGCCUGGGUCCUGGACAUCACCGCCAGGGCAAAAUCCUCAGGAGGUUUGGGCUUUUGUUGACUGUGAAGCCGCAGGAGGCUGGGGCUUUUCACUGAUGGCGAUUGUGGCACCGCAAUGGUCAGCAGUAGCUCCGUUGACCCACAUCUUCCAACGGUGGCUUCUGUCUGGGGGACCCACUCCAGUCCUCUCCCCAUCAACACGAACUGAAAGGAUGUAUGAAGAGCUCUGAAUUUGCAGCCCACAAAACCUAGACAGACAGACACACAUACACACACACACACACAAACUUUCAACGAGACGUGUGUGUGUGUGUGUGUGUGUGUGUGUGUGUGUNAACUUUCAACGAGAUGUGUGUGUGUGUGUGCCCACAAAUUCAGUCCCAAGAUCUUGCUCCAAGCCCCACCCAGUUCACGGGGGGAAGCCGGCCCGCAGCACGCUGGAGGUGGCCUAUCAACUGACCUCUAACUCACUCCAGAAAGAUGAGUGAUGCCUGAAAACUAAAAUGAUCCAGGUUGAGAAGACAAGCGAUGAGGUAGGAGCUGGGUCUCCAGUCCUUGAUCCCAGGGGCCGUGCGCGCAGCUCUAGCGCCACCUCGUGGACGGAUGGGAUUCAUCCCGCAUUUCGCAUCAGCCCACCCACUCAUCCCACCACCUCCCGCCUGACUUGAGGUCCUCUCAGCUCUCCUGAGGCUCUCCCGAGCUUGGUGACCACAGGGUGUGUUCUAGAAAUACUAGUUCUAGGAAUACGUCUAACGUGGGCGAGGCGGGGCUUCUCCAGUAACUAGAGGAGCAACUGCAAACUUGUCUCGAGGGCUAUGAACUGAAAAGAUGUUUCAGAGGAAUUGAAGCACACAAACACACAGGGACACACCCACGACACACGUAGGGGCACACAGAGAUGCACACACACACACACACAUACACAGAAGCACACAUAGUCACAAACACAAGGACACACACACACCAUACUCAAAAGAAGUGUGUGCCCACAGCUUCAAUGCCAAGCUCUCUCUCCAGGCCCCGCCGGCUCGUGGGGGCAUCAAACCGGCCUCCCCUAAUCCUGCCACAUCCCAGCAAUCGCCGAUGGCCAGAGCUGCCUUAUCAAGGUCCUGCCCCUGGUUUGUUUUUGUUUUUGUUUUUGUUUUUGUUUUAAUGUCUGCUUUUCUGCCCCAGUUCGGGAUGCAGGUCUGGGCAGCCCCAGGAGAGGGAGCAGUGGGUCAAGCCCAGACUCUUCCAUGGGGGCAGAAAUGGCUGUCAGUUCACACUCACACACACACACACACACUCUCUCUCUGCCCAGCGGGCCCCCAGCAGGGCCACAGAAAAUUCAGGGAUCAGAUCACAAGGCCACCGCUACCACCCGCCCUCUGUCCGAUGUGCUGGCCCAUCAGGCUAUGGAGACCUUCCUGGUGAAUCGAGGGGCUGAAAACAGAACUGAGAGGCUCACAGCCUCUUCCCCAGAGAGAAAAAGAAAGUGAGAGAUGGUCUGUACGGUUUAUCCCGCGGGAACCUUCGCAAAGUCAGGCACAAGCAGCCAGGGUGAGAGGACUUAGAAAAGCUGAAAGGAGCAAACAAACAGCAAGUGCCAAAUGUCUGCAGUCCUGACACUGCAGGGCAGGAAAUCAGCUCCCCGGGGCAGGAAACCCCGGCUCUCAGGCCUGGCUUCUGAGCUGUGUGACCUUGGGCCGGGCUCUUAACCUCUCUGAGCCCAGCUUUCUCACCCACAAAAGGAAGGUCUCCUGAUGGAGACCCAACAAGUCAAUAAUACAUGUUUCCCUGGAUAAAAGCAGCUCUGGAGGCCAUCCUACAUGGUAAUAUAUGCAAAAGACCCAGAAUUGAAUCCGAGGGCUUUGAAAAACAGUGUGGCUCUUUAUCAAUUGUCACUUGAUACACCAAGCUUUACCCACUAAGAUAUGUCCCGAAGUCCCUGGCAGCUGGCGGCAGUGCCAAACUUCUUCUCUCUCCAGUCUCUCCCCCUAAAUCUCCUCCGAAAAUAUCAUUGUCCUUGCCAAGGUAGCCCCACCGUCCCUCACACUCACGGUUCCCAGCCCCGGCUGCCUGUUAUGUGCACCUCAAAACCUUCCUAAAGGGCCAAGCCCAGGGCCCCACUGCAGAGGAGUGAAAUCUGACUUUCUGGAAGCUGGAUCUGAGUGUCAGUCCUAUUUAGAUGCUCUGAGGUGAUUUUAUUUGCAUUCAGGGUAGAAAUUGCUGUUCUAAAUAUUUUUUAAACGGUUCAUUUGAAAUGUACUUUUACCAUCACGUUCCAUCACAAAAGACUGGAUACAGUUCCUGUGCUGUAGAGUGUGAUAGAGCAUGAUGGAAGGUAAUAUGAGACAAAGGAUAUUUAUAUAUGGCUGGGUCACUUUGCUGUUCAGCAGAAAUUGACACAACAUUGUAAGUCACCUCUACUUUAAAAAAAAAA